RNAcentral lists this unclassified non-coding RNA (568 nucleotides) under Hevea brasiliensis (rubber tree). Lineage: Eukaryota; Viridiplantae; Streptophyta; Magnoliopsida; Malpighiales; Euphorbiaceae. The record is from RNAcentral.
AAUCACACUAUUGAAAUGUAUUUGCGAUGUUUUGUGGGUGACAAACCCCAAAGUUGGGUGGAUUGGUUACCAUGGGUGAAAUCCUGUAAUAACACCUCUUUUCAUUCUACCCUCAAAACUUUUCCAUUUCAGGUCGUGUAUGGACAUCCUCCGUCUCACUUAUUGCCUUAUGUAGCGGGUCCCGUAAUAAGGCAAUUGAUCAAGCUCUCAUUGAAAGAGAUGUGGAGCUCGGUGAGAUUCGUUUUCGACUUCAACAAGCUUAGUUAUGCAUGAAGAAUAUUAUGACAAGGGUCACCGUGAUGUGUCUUUACAACUGGUAAUUUUGUUCAGUUAAGACUGUACCCCUUUCGCCGCUUAACAGUGGCCAGCAAGCUAAAUUCCAAGCUGGCACCUCGUUAUUAUGGGCCUUUUAAGGUAUUACGUCGUAUUGGGGAGGUCGCAUAUCAGCUAGAACUCCCUUCUUCCAGCCGCAUUCAUGAUGUAUUCCAUGUCUCAUUAUUGAAGCCAUUCAAAGGGGAUAUGCCAUCUGUUCAGCCAACUUUACCAUCAACAGUUGAGGGUCGUGUUG